This 21-nucleotide ribosomal RNA is filed under the name Siboglinum fiordicum. Its description in RNAcentral is "partial 18S ribosomal RNA". RNAcentral also lists the same sequence under 3 other names. Lineage: Eukaryota; Metazoa; Annelida; Polychaeta; Sabellida; Siboglinidae. The record is from RNAcentral.
CUGGUUGAUYCUGCCAGUAGU